GAUGAAGAACGUAGCGAAAUGCGAUAAGUAAUGUGAAUUGCAGAAUUCAGUUAAUCAUCGAAUCUUUGAACGCACAUUGCGCCCAUUAGUAUUCUAGUGGGCCUGCCUGUUCGAGCGUCAUUAAGUCCACUUAAGCCCUGCUUAGUGUUGGGAGACUGCUCCAGCGGUGCUACCCUGUAGCUACCCUGCAGCUCCUCAAAGACAGCGGCGGAGUUGUGGUAUCCUCUGAGCUUAGUAACUUGUUCUAGCUUUCGAGUACACCACUUCCCCUGCCGUAAAACCCUUAAUUUUUAAUGGUUGACCUCGGAUCAGGUAGGAAUACCCGCUGAACUUAAGCAUAUCAAUAAGCGAAGGA
RNAcentral lists this unclassified non-coding RNA (355 nucleotides) under soil metagenome. RNAcentral describes it as "partial contains 5.8S ribosomal RNA, internal transcribed spacer 2, and large subunit ribosomal RNA". The stretch from base 1 to 120 matches the Rfam family "5.8S ribosomal RNA", at positions 35 to 154 of the family's 154-position model. The record is from RNAcentral.